Molecule: ribosomal RNA, 532 nt
Filed under: uncultured archaeon
Lineage: Archaea
Description: bacterial SSU rRNA
Rfam family: Archaeal small subunit ribosomal RNA
Source: RNAcentral
UCGCGAAAACUUCGCAAUAAGCGAAAGCUUGACGGGGCUAUCCCGAGUGCCAUCUGCUGAAGAUGGCUUUUACCUAGUAUAGAUAGCUAGGGGAAUAAGGAGAGGGCAAGUCUGGUGUCAGCCGCCGCGGUAAUACCAGCUCUCCGAGUUGUGGGGAUAUUUAUUGGGCCUAAAGCAUCCGUAGCCGGCUGAACAAGUCCCCUGUUAAACCCAGCGACUAAUCGUUGGUCUGCGGGGGAUACUGUUCGGCUAGGGGGCGGGAGAGGCCGUUGGUAUUCCUGGGGUAGGGGUGAAAUCCUAUAAUCCCAGGAGGACCACCAGUGGCGAAGGCUGUCGGCUAGAACGCGCCCGACGGUGAGGGAUGAAAGCUGGGGGAGCGAACCGGAUUAGAUACCCGGGUAGUCCCAGCUGUAAACGAUGCAGGCUAGGUGUUAGGGCGGCUACGUGCCGCUCUAGUGCCGCAGGGAAGCUGUUAAGCCUGCCGCCUGGGGAGUACGGCCGCAAGGCUGAAACUUAAAGGAAUUGGCGGGGG